GACGAACCGUGCGAACGUUAUUCGGAAUCACUGGGCUUAAAGCGCGUGUAGGCGGCCCGGCACGUCCGUCGCUGAAAUCCCCCGGCUCAACCGGGGAAGGGGCGUGGAUACGACCGGGCUGGAGGGGGUAGGGGAGCCGGAACUUCCGGUGGAGCGGUGAAAUGCGUUGAGAUCGGAAGGAACGCCCGUGGCGAAAGCGGGCUCCUGGACCCCACCUGACGCUGAGACGCGAAGCCAGGGAGCGAACGGG
This 250-nucleotide ribosomal RNA is filed under the name uncultured bacterium. RNAcentral's name for it is "partial 16S ribosomal RNA". It matches the Rfam family "Bacterial small subunit ribosomal RNA", at positions 524 to 776 of the family's 1533-position model. The record is from RNAcentral.